RNAcentral lists this long non-coding RNA (681 nucleotides) under Marmota monax (woodchuck). The record is from RNAcentral. Lineage: Eukaryota; Metazoa; Chordata; Mammalia; Rodentia; Sciuridae.
GGUUCUGCAGAAAUGACUGGUUUGUUAUGAGAAAGUCCCAUUUUAAUAACUGAUCUAGUAUAAGGUUUUAAGUCUCCAUUAAUAGUACAAUUAAUUAGUCUAGGUUUCCCAACUGCUAUCUUUUCCUCAGAUGAUACUCUUAGACAUCCAGCAUGUUUAUCGUGGGACCAACACAAAGGUAAUUGGGCACUAUAGGCAGAAUAAUUAAAUCUAGUCACAUGAUUGGGAGUAAUAUGAGUAUCUGUAAAUCCUCCCAUCAUGAAUGAGUCAUUAGUAAACACUGGGAUGGAUUCUCCAGUCAUCAAGGCUGGGUGUACUAAAGGUGGAUCUUAGAAAUAGGUCCAAUAAGUGUUUGCUUGACUCCCUUUUACCUGACAGCCAAGUAAUGCUAUUACCAUGGCAAGCAUCAUCAUUGGAGUCUUAUUUCUCCCUAAGAGCCGAAUCAUUCACAAAGCGUGUGUUGUCAGUUUCUUCAGGUCUUCCCAUGAGAACAGCUUUUCUGCUGAAUCUUGCUGGAUCAUCUUCUUUUUUCAAAAUCUCUUUCUUUUGAGGGAAGGCUUCUCUGAGUCGAUCUUCAGUCAUUUGAAUCUUGGUUCUAUUUCCUCCAUGACUGAUUGUGCAUUCAGGCACUCAAAUAGGAUGAAAAGCACUUUCUGGAAAAAUACAAGCAUGACCUCUGCC